AUCUAGCUGACGAAUCCUAAAAUAGGAUGAAACGCUCGUCCUGGAU
Non-coding RNA from Schistosoma mansoni, 46 nucleotides. The record is from Rfam. Lineage: Eukaryota; Metazoa; Platyhelminthes; Trematoda; Strigeidida; Schistosomatidae.